RNAcentral lists this ribosomal RNA (393 nucleotides) under uncultured bacterium. RNAcentral describes it as "partial 16S ribosomal RNA". It matches the Rfam family "Bacterial small subunit ribosomal RNA", at positions 523 to 918 of the family's 1533-position model. The record is from RNAcentral.
AUACGGAGGAUGCAAGCGUUAUCCGGAUUUAUUGGGUUUAAAGGGUGCGUAGGCGGUUUGCUAAGCGGGAGGUGAAAUGCCGGCGCUCAAGGGCGGAAGUGCCUCCCGAACUGGUGGACUUGAAUGACUCUGCCGUGGGAGGAAUGUGUAGUGUAGCGGUGAAAUGCUUAGGGAUUACACAGAACACCGAUUGCGAAGGCAUCUCACGAAGGGUUGAUUGACGCUGAGGCACGAAAGCGUGGGGAUCAAACAGGAUUAGAUACCCUGGUAGUCCACGCAGUAAACGAUGAUGGCUAACCGCUGGAUCCAUCGGUUCAGUGGCCAAGCGAAAGCGAUAAGCCAUCCACCUGGGGAGUACGACCGCAAGGUUGAAACUCAAAUGAAUUGACGGGG